GAGUGGAGUUUCGGAAUAUUGGGCGUAAAGAGCUCGUAGGCGGUUUGUCGCGUCUGCCGUGAAAGUCCGGGGCUUAACUCCGGAUCUGCGGUGGGUACGGGCAGACUAGAGUGCAGUAGGGGAGACUGGAAUUCCUGGUGUAGCGGUGGAAUGCGCAGAUAUCAGGAGGAACACCGAUGGCGAAGGCAGGUCUCUGGGCUGUAACUGACGCUGAGGAGCGAAAGCAUGGGGAGCGAACAGGAUUAGAUACCCUGGUAGUCCAUGCCGUAAACGUUGGGCACUAGGUGUGGGGGCCAUUCCACGGUUUCCGCGCCGCAGCUAACGCAUUAAGUGCCCCGCCUGGGGAGUACGGCCGCAAGGCUAAAACUCAAAGGAAUUGACGGGGGCCCGCACAAGCGGCGGAGCAUGCGGAUUAAUUCGAUGCAACGCGAAGAACCUUACCAAGGCUUGACAUGUUCUCGUUCGCCGUAGAGAUACGGUUUCCCCUUUGGGGCGGGUUCACAGGUGGUGCAUGGUUGUCGUCAGCUCGUGUCGUGAGAUGUUGGGUUAAGUCCCGCAACGAGCGCAACCCCUGUUCUAUGUUGCCAGCACGUGAUGGUGGGGACUCAUGGGAGACUGCCGGGGUCAACUCGGAGGAAGGUGGGGACGACGUCAAAUCAUCAUGCCCCUUAUGUCUUGGGCUUCACGCAUGCUACAAUGGCCGGUACAAUGGGUUGCGAUACUGUGAGGUGGAGCUAAUCCCAAAAAGCCGGUCUCAGUUCGGAUUGGGGUCUGCAACUCGACCCCAUGAAGUUGGAGUCGCUAGUAAUCGCAGAUCAGCAACGCUGCGGUGAAUACGUUCCCGGGCCUUGUACACACCGCCCGUCAAGUCACGAAAGUCGGUAACACCCGAAGCCGGUGGCCUAACCCUUGUGGAAGGAGCCGUCGAAAGUGGGACUGGCGAUGGGACAUCAAAAAAAGACCC
This 964-nucleotide ribosomal RNA is filed under the name Micrococcus lylae. RNAcentral's name for it is "bacterial SSU rRNA". It matches the Rfam family "Bacterial small subunit ribosomal RNA", at positions 536 to 1499 of the family's 1533-position model. Lineage: Bacteria; Bacillati; Actinomycetota; Actinomycetes; Micrococcales; Micrococcaceae. The record is from RNAcentral.